This 695-nucleotide ribosomal RNA is filed under the name Drapetis sp. SNK-2009. Its description in RNAcentral is "SSU rRNA". It matches the Rfam family "Eukaryotic small subunit ribosomal RNA", at positions 539 to 1164 of the family's 1831-position model. Lineage: Eukaryota; Metazoa; Arthropoda; Insecta; Diptera; Hybotidae. The record is from RNAcentral.
GGACCUAUUGGAGGGCAAGUCUGGUGCCAGCAGCCGCGGUAAUUCCAGCUCCAAUAGCGUAUAUUAAAGUUGUUGCGGUUAAAACGUUCGUAGUUGAACUUGUGCUUCAUACGGGUAGUACACCUAUAUACUGGGUUUGUACAUUACCUAUUGUAUGCAAGCGUAUUACCGGUGGAGUUCUAAUAUAUUAUUAUUAACUUUGUUUUUAAUAAUAUAUACCUCCUAUUUAAACCUACUUCAGUGCUCUUUACCGAGUGUUGUUGUGGGCCGGUACAAUUACUUUGAACAAAUUAGAGUGCUUAAAGCAGGCUCAAAAUGCCUGAAUAUUUUGUGCAUGGAAUAAUGGAAUAAGACCUCUGUUCUACUUUUCAUUGGUUUAAUAGAUCUAGAGGUAAUGAUUAAUAGAAGCAGUUGGGGGCAUUAGUAUUACGACGCGAGAGGUGAAAUUCUUGGACCGUCGUAAGACUAACUUAAGCGAAAGCAUUUGCCAAAGAUGUUUUCAUUAAUCAAGAACGAAAGUUAGAGGUUCGAAGGCGAUCAGAUACCGCCCUAGUUCUAACCAUAAACGAUGCCAGCUAGCAAUUGGGUGUAGCUACUAUUAUGGCUCUCUCAGUCGCUUCCCGGGAAACCAAAGCUUUUGGGCUCCGGGGGAAGUAUGGUUGCAAAGCUGAAACUUAAAGGAAUUGACGGAAGGG